UGUCACGACCCGAAUCCCGGAUUCAUGACCGGCACAUAGGCAAGGUUCCCCUCCAAGGUUCCAUACCUAUGCGAACCCAAACUUACACACAAACUUAUCCUAACUCAAUCAGAGUUCAACGCAACAUUAAUAACAAAAUCAACUUCAUAAUAAUUGAAUUGUCUUAAUACAAAAGUUUAUAUAAGUUCAGAGUUUUGGAGCACUAACUAAACAUAAAGGAAAGAUACAAAGUACAACCAAAGAGCAGAUUCUGAAGGUCCAACAAAAUGACCUGCUAUCAAGCUAUAAGCCUGAAAAGGAUAAAUAAUGAGAUGGUGAGUUCAACAACUCAGUGAGUAGAUAACGUUCAAUAUACACACACGAGGUAAUACAGCAAUGAGAAAUAUAUAUACAAGUAUGGCUCUAGGUUCUUAUAGAAAGGUUUCUCAAAUAGGCCAUAACAAGAAGAUCAAAUGGUAAAGUUCGUCAGAAAAUCAAAAUGCAAUGAGCAUGAGGCUCCGUACUGUGGGAUGAUCAGUCCACACAGGUUGGUGACUCCCCCGACCAACUAGGGUUCAGAUACGAUGUGCACAAAGACUAACACUACCCUGUUAGCAUGGGUAUUCUGACUGACAUACCAUAGGUUCAUAAUCAUAAUCAAACAAACAUAUUCAUAUCUCAAGGCUCAACUCAUGACAUCAAUCAAAUGAGGAGCUAUCAAUUCAGAAUUCAAUUCAAAAUAUAUACUGGUUCAUAUCAAGAAUUCGGAUUCAACAAUUGAUCAUGCUUUAUCAAAACAAGGAUAAUAAUCAACAUAUAUAUUAUCAAGAAGCAUGAUUCAAUUCAUAUUAACAAAUCAAAUAUUUAUACUAUUUCUCAUGAAUAUGGAAAAUUAUCCACUCACCUGACUCAAAAGCAAACAGAAGCCAAAAGCAGACACCGAAGAAAAUCCUACUGACGUCCUGUCGGUAGAAUAUCAGGAUUAUCUGAAUACAAAGGAGACAUAUUCAAGAACGACUCAAAAGAACAUUUAACCUAUUUAAUAAACUUAACUAAUGAUGUAUUCCAUAACCCUAUAUGUUUUUGAACUAACUAGUCAAUUUUCUCAAAAACCCAAAAUUUAACGGUUUUCCCGAAAUCUAAUCCAUAAAUAAACAACUAAUAAAAUUGGCAAUAAUUCACUAAAUAACCCUUAAUUAUUCAUCAAACUAAUCUGAAAAGGCUAAUAUUACAGCUAGGGACCAAUCUGUAAUUUAUCAUAUUUUUAGGGCCAAAUUGUAAUUUUUGUCUAAUUGGAGGACCAAACUGAAAUUUAUCAUAAAUCCAUGAAUAUACUGAAAUUCUGACCAUAAUUAGUCCUCAUUUCUGUCCAGAUCAUCUCAUUAUACUCCAAGGACCAUUCUGGAAUUUUACCAAAUUUUUUAGGGUCAAAUUGUAAUUUUGUCAAAUUGGAGGACUAAAUUGAAAGUGUUAAAUUCUCUUAUCUAUACAGUAAUUCUGUCCAUAAUUCGUAUGUUAUUCUGUUCAGAAUCUCGGAAUAGGGUCCAGGGACCAAUCUGCAAAUUUUCCAAAGUUUGGGGACUAAACUGUAAUUUUCCAAAAUUGAGGGACCAAACCGAAAUUUUGUCAUCUUCAACCUCCAACCCAGAAUUCCAACAGAAAACCCACUGUUCUUUCCUUAUUUCUAACACAAAUUCACCAUUCAAACAAAAUCAUAACUCAAAACACAAAUUUCAUAACCCUAACAUUUAUCAAAAUCGAAAUUAAAGCUUAAUAAUACAAAUUUAUACAUUUAACAACCUAAAUCUUACCUUUAAACUUAUUCCCUUCAAUUCUUUUCUAUUUUCCCUAUUUUCCCCUCUUUUCUCUUCUUCUUCUUUCUCCCUUCUCUCCUGCCGAUUCUCUCUCAAAUAUUC
RNAcentral lists this long non-coding RNA (1895 nucleotides) under Populus trichocarpa (black cottonwood). Its description in RNAcentral is "long non-coding RNA (PTRI_LNC001723)". The record is from RNAcentral. Lineage: Eukaryota; Viridiplantae; Streptophyta; Magnoliopsida; Malpighiales; Salicaceae.